This 241-nucleotide ribosomal RNA is filed under the name uncultured Staphylococcus sp. RNAcentral's name for it is "partial 16S ribosomal RNA". It matches the Rfam family "Bacterial small subunit ribosomal RNA", at positions 99 to 334 of the family's 1533-position model. Lineage: Bacteria; Bacillati; Bacillota; Bacilli; Caryophanales; Staphylococcaceae. The record is from RNAcentral.
CGGACGGGUGAGUAACACGUGGAUAACCUACCUAUAAGACUGGGAUAACUUCGGGAAACCGGAGCUAAUACCGGAUAAUAUUUUGAACCGCAUGGUUCAAAAGUGAAAGACGGUCUUGCUGUCACUUACAGAUGGAUCCGCGCUGCAUUAGCUAGUUGGUAAGGUAACGGCUUACCAAGGCAACGAUGCAUAGCCGACCUGAGAGGGUGAUCGGCCACACUGGAACUGAGACACGGUCCAG